This 253-nucleotide ribosomal RNA is filed under the name uncultured bacterium. RNAcentral describes it as "partial 16S ribosomal RNA". It matches the Rfam family "Bacterial small subunit ribosomal RNA", at positions 524 to 776 of the family's 1533-position model. The record is from RNAcentral.
UACGAAGGGAGCGAGCGUUGUUCGGAAUCACUGGGCUUAAAGCGCGCGUAGGCGGAUUUAUAAGUCAGAAGUGAAAUCCCGGGGCUCAACCCCGGAACUGCUUUUGAGACUGUAGAUCUGGAAUCCGGUAGAGGUUAAUGGAAUAUCCAGUGUAGAGGUGAAAUUCGCAGAUAUUGGAUAGAACACCAGUGGCGAAGGCGAUUAACUGGGCCGGUAUUGACGCUGAGGUACGAAAGCGUGGGUAGCAAACAGG